GCUUCUGUGGCCUAAUGGAUAAGGCAUUGGCCUCCUGAGUCAGGGAUUAUGGGUUCGAUUCCAAUCAGAGGUG
This 73-nucleotide transfer RNA is filed under the name Clytia hemisphaerica. Its description in RNAcentral is "tRNA-Arg for anticodon CCU". It matches the Rfam family "tRNA". From Rfam's summary of the family: Transfer RNA (tRNA) molecules are approximately 80 nucleotides in length. Their secondary structure includes four short double-helical elements and three loops (D, anti-codon, and T loops). Lineage: Eukaryota; Metazoa; Cnidaria; Hydrozoa; Leptothecata; Clytiidae. The record is from Rfam by way of RNAcentral.